Molecule: ribosomal RNA, 104 nt
Filed under: Clostridium botulinum C
Lineage: Bacteria; Bacillati; Bacillota; Clostridia; Eubacteriales; Clostridiaceae
Description: partial 23S ribosomal RNA
Rfam family: Bacterial large subunit ribosomal RNA (bases 1-93)
Source: RNAcentral
GACCCCUGAAAGACUAUCAGGUUGAUAGGUUGGAGGUGUAAGUACAGUAAUGUAUUCAGCUGACCAAUACUAAUAGGUCGAGGGCUUGAUCAAAUAUUUAUUAU